RNAcentral lists this ribosomal RNA (253 nucleotides) under uncultured bacterium. Its description in RNAcentral is "partial 16S ribosomal RNA". It matches the Rfam family "Bacterial small subunit ribosomal RNA", at positions 524 to 776 of the family's 1533-position model. The record is from RNAcentral.
UACGUAGGGUGCGAGCGUUGUCCGGAAUUACUGGGCGUAAAGAGCUCGUAGGUGGUUUGUCGCGUUGUCCGUGAAAACUCACAGCUUAACUGUGGGCGUGCGGGCGAUACGGGCAGACUGGAGUACUGCAGGGGAGACUGGAAUUCCUGGUGUAGCGGUGGAAUGCGCAGAUAUCAGGAGGAACACCGGUGGCGAAGGCGGGUCUCUGGGCAGCAACUGACGCUGAGGAGCGAAAGCGUGGGGAGCGAACAGG